RNAcentral lists this ribosomal RNA (253 nucleotides) under uncultured bacterium. RNAcentral describes it as "partial 16S ribosomal RNA". It matches the Rfam family "Bacterial small subunit ribosomal RNA", at positions 524 to 776 of the family's 1533-position model. The record is from RNAcentral.
UACAGAGGUGGCAAGCGUUGUUCGGAAUUACUGGGCGUAAAGGGCGCGUAGGCGGCUUGGUCAGUCCCGUGUGAAAUCCCUCGGCUCAACUGAGGAACUGCACGGGAAACUGCCUGGCUUGAGUUCGGGAGAGGGAAGCGGAAUUCCGGGUGUAGCGGUGAAAUGCGUAGAUAUCAGGAGGAACACCGGUGGCGAAAGCGCUCAUCUGGCCCAAUACUGACGCUGAGGCGCGAAAGCUAGGGGAGCAAACGGG